Molecule: ribosomal RNA, 512 nt
Filed under: uncultured Xanthomonas sp.
Lineage: Bacteria; Pseudomonadati; Pseudomonadota; Gammaproteobacteria; Lysobacterales; Lysobacteraceae
Description: bacterial SSU rRNA
Rfam family: Bacterial small subunit ribosomal RNA
Source: RNAcentral
AGAGUUUGAUCCUGGCUCAGAGUGAACGCUGGCGGCAGGCCUAACACAUGCAAGUCGAACGGCAGCACAGUAAGAGCUUGCUCUUAUGGGUGGCGAGUGGCGGACGGGUGAGGAAUACAUCGGAAUCUACUCUUUCGUGGGGGAUAACGUAGGGAAACUUACGCUAAUACCGCAUACGACCUACGGGUGAAAGCGGAGGACCUUCGGGCUUCGCGCGAUUGAAUGAGCCGAUGUCGGAUUAGCUAGUUGGCGGGGUAAAGGCCCACCAAGGCGACGAUCCGUAGCUGGUCUGAGAGGAUGAUCAGCCACACUGGAACUGAGACACGGUCCAGACUCCUACGGGAGGCAGCAGUGGGGAAUAUUGGACAAUGGGCGCAAGCCUGAUCCAGCCAUGCCGCGUGGGUGAAGAAGGCCUUCGGGUUGUAAAGCCCUUUUGUUGGGAAAGAAAAGCAGUCGGUUAAUACCCGAUUGUUCUGACGGUACCCAAAGAAUAAGCACCGGCUAACUUCGUG